RNAcentral lists this long non-coding RNA (1635 nucleotides) under Helianthus annuus (common sunflower). Its description in RNAcentral is "hypothetical non coding rna". Lineage: Eukaryota; Viridiplantae; Streptophyta; Magnoliopsida; Asterales; Asteraceae. The record is from RNAcentral.
UUCCCAAAAAACUUAGGGUUUUUUCUUUUUUACCGAUUUUUAUACAAUAUCCUCCAUCGACCUUCAUUCUGUAUAGUUUCGUAGAUCUGCUGUCGUUCUAGCUGAAAAUCUUACUAGAGUUGCAUUAUUACAUCUCAUCCAACCCCCUCUCUCUUGCUCGUAGCUUUAUACCCGAAAAAGUAUGUUUUUGCCUAUUUUGUGUACGAUAUUCCUCGAUUAGCUUUAAAUCCAUAUAGCUUUUUCUGCCUUCGUCAAAGUUGCCGCUUCUGAACUCGAUUGAGGGGUGGUGGCAAGGGUUUUCGUUGAAUCAUUUUGGGAAUAUCGCUAACUUGAUAACGACACACGAAUUCAAAAAAGUAUUUCAUCGCAGUUUGAAAAGGAAAGCGCUUUCAGAAUGUUGAAAAGGGGAAAAAGAAAAUUAGAUGGAAUUGCGCACUUGAUAGCGGAGUGGGCUAGUGGCCUGUAUAAUAUGAUGACUGUAGUUGGCCUUGUAAGGAGAUUGAGCUAGUGCAAGUUCACGCCAAACAAUGAGUUAAGUCACAACAGGGUGUAUCAACUUGUGUUGUUGAUAAGGGAUUGGGCUAGUGGACUGGAUAAUAUUUGAUGGACUGAAGUUGGGCUAGUGCAACUUCAGUAUACUUCUAUAUUAGUGUUUACACAUGAUUGGGUGAACGAAGAUAUUGUCCAUGGAUGCAACCUCAAAGAAGAAAAAAAGAAAUAAGAAAGGUCUGACGUUCCAUCAUAUAGUGCCUUUUCGACUACAACUGGUGACUACACAAAGAAAUAUGAAUUAGAAAGUAAGUUUCUAGCAGGCUGUACAUCAUUCAUAACUGAAGGCUUUGGUGGUGACUGGUUCAUGCUUGCUGUUUUCAGAAAAGAAAAACACUAAAUGAUUUUGUCAGGUGCUUUGUCAUAAUGUGCCUCUUCGACUACAACUGGUGACUACAUAAAGAAGUAUAUGAAUUAAGAAGUAUGUUUCCUGCAGGCUGAUCUUCAUGCAUAACUGAUGGCUUUGGUGAUGACUGGUCCAUGCUUGAGUAUUUCAGACAAAAAUGAGAAAUGAUUAAGCCGGCUUCUCGGUUAUAUAGAAGAAAAGUAAACUGUAGGUAAACUGCAUAAUAGUGGGUGCUAAAGUUUUGCUAAAAGCCUGAAAAAUUGGCAUAAAUGUAGGAAUUUUGGAAAGAAGGGCUGAACUUCGAUCAACUGCCCAAUUUAGAAUGUUCAACCGAAAACCCCACUACCCAUGGUUAUAGGAUGCUAAAAUUGUGGAGAUCAUGGGCAAGAGUUGUGGAGAUCAUGGCAGCAAAGGUGGAGCUACCAAAACUGUCAGAAAACUUCCAUCAACCGCCACAAGAGCGGUUAUUUUUUGGAGUUUAAACGGCUGAGAUUUCAUCUCAGCAUGAUCUGACGGUGGAUAUCGAUUUAGAAAGUAGUUAGACUUAAUGGGUUUAAUGUAUAUAUAUAAUUAUUUCUUUUCAUUCUACCCAUUUUCUUUCAUCUCCUUAACUAAUUUUCUCUUCUUUUAUAUUUAUUAAACUUGACAACAGUUAAUUAAUUUUUUUUUCUUUUAUUUCGUUUAUUAAACUUGAGAAUAGAGUGUACCUGCAUGAAUGUGUGAUGAUGGGACCAUCGUCU